This 206-nucleotide ribosomal RNA is filed under the name uncultured bacterium. RNAcentral describes it as "partial 16S ribosomal RNA". It matches the Rfam family "Bacterial small subunit ribosomal RNA", at positions 1295 to 1500 of the family's 1533-position model. The record is from RNAcentral.
GGAUUGCAGGCUGCAACCCGCCUGUAUGAAGUUGGAANCGCUAGUAAUCGCGGAUCAGCAUGCCGCGGUGAAUACGUUCCCGGGCCUUGUACACACCGCCCGUCACACCAUGAGAGUCGGGAACACCCGAAGUCCGUAGCCUAACCGCAAGGGGGGCGCGGCCGAAGGUGGGUUCGAUAAUUGGGGUGAAGUCGUAACAAGGUAGC